RNAcentral lists this ribosomal RNA (797 nucleotides) under uncultured Glomeromycotina. RNAcentral's name for it is "SSU rRNA". It matches the Rfam family "Eukaryotic small subunit ribosomal RNA", at positions 314 to 1114 of the family's 1831-position model. Lineage: Eukaryota; Fungi; Glomeromycota. The record is from RNAcentral.
AUCAACUUUCGAUGGUAGGAUAGAGGCCUACCAUGGUGGUAACGGGUAACGGGGUGUUAGGGCACGACACCGGAGAGGGAGCCUGAGAAACGGCUACCACAUCCAAGGAUGGCAGCAGGCGCGCAAAUUACCCAAUCCCGACACGGGGAGGUAGUGACAAUAAAUAACAAUACGGGGUCCUUUGGGUCUCGUAAUUGGAAUGAGUACAAUUUAAAUCUCUUAACGAGGAACAAUUGGAGGGCAAGUCUGGUGCCAGCAGCCGCGGUAAUUCCAGCUCCAAUAGCGUAUAUUAAAGUUGUUGCAGUUAAAAAGCUCGUAGUUGAAUUUCGGGAUUAGUAGGUUGGUCGUGCCUCUGGUAUGUACUCGCCUUACUGGUUCCUCCUUCUUGAAGAACUGUAAUGCCAUUAAUUUGGUGUUGCAGGGAAACAGGACUGUUACUUUGAGAAAAUUAGAGUGUUUAAAGCAGGCCAUUGCCUGAAUACAUUAGCAUGGAAUAAUGAAAUAGGACGUUGAUCCUAUUUUGUUGGUUUCUAGGAUUGACGUAAUGAUUAAUAGGGAUAGUUGGGGGCAUUAGUAUUCAAUUGUCAGAGGUGAAAUUCUUGGAUUUAUUGAAGACUAACUACUGCGAAAGCAUUUGCCAAGGAUGUUUUCAUUAAUCAAGAACGAAAGUUAGGGGAUCGAAGACGAUCAGAUACCGUCGUAGUCUUAACCAUAAACUAUGCCGACUAGGGAUCGGAUGAUGUUAAUUUUUUAAUGACUCAUUCGGCGCCUUACGGGAAACCAAAGUGUUUGGGUUC